Molecule: ribosomal RNA, 425 nt
Filed under: uncultured bacterium
Lineage: Bacteria
Description: bacterial SSU rRNA
Rfam family: Bacterial small subunit ribosomal RNA
Source: RNAcentral
GAAUUUUGGACAAUGGGGGCAACCCUGAUCCAGCCAUGCCGCGUGCGGGAAGAAGGCCUUCGGGUUGUAAACCGCUUUUGUCGGGGAAGAAACGGUCUGCGCUAAUACCGCGGACUAAUGACGGUACCCGAAGAAUAAGCACCGGCUACCUACGUGCCAGCAGCCGCGGUAAUACGUAGGGUGCAAGCGUUAAUCGGAAUUACUGGGCGUAAAGCGUGCGCAGGCGGCUUUGCAAGACAGAUGUGAAAUCCCCGGGCUUAACCUGGGAACUGCAUUUGUGACUGCAUGGCUGGAGUGCGGCAGAGGGGGAUGGAAUUCCGCGUGUAGCAGUGAAAUGCGUAGAUAUGCGGAGGAACACCGAUGGCGAAGGCAAUCCCCUGGGCCUGCACUGACGCUCAUGCACGAAAGCGUGGGGAGCAAACAGG